This 406-nucleotide ribosomal RNA is filed under the name uncultured bacterium. RNAcentral's name for it is "partial 16S ribosomal RNA". It matches the Rfam family "Bacterial small subunit ribosomal RNA", at positions 30 to 526 of the family's 1533-position model. The record is from RNAcentral.
AUUGAACGCUGGCGGCAGGCCUAACACAUGCAAGUCGAGCGAGCGGCGGACGGGUGAGUAAUGUCUGGGAAACUGCCUGAUGGAGGGGGAUAAAUACUGGAAACGGUAGCUAAUAUCGCAUACCAUCAGAUGUGCCCAGAUGGGAUUAGCUGGUGGGUGGGGUAAUGGCUCACCUAGGCGACGCUCCCUAGCUGGUCUGAGAGGAUUACCAGCCACACGGGAACUGAUACACGGUCCAGACUCCUACGGGAGGCAGCAGUGGGGAAUAUUGCACAAUGGGCGCAAGCCUGAUGCAGCCAUGCCGCGUGUAUGAAGAAGGCCUUCGGGUUGUAAAGUACUUUCAGUCGGGAGGCGUUACCGACAGAAGAAGCACCGGCUAACUCCGUGCCAGCAGCCGCGGUAAUUC